CGCGGCCUAUCAGCUUGUUGGUGAGGUAACGGCUCACCAAGGCGACGACGGGUAGCCGGCCUGAGAGGGUGACCGGCCACACUGGGACUGAGACACGGCCCAGACUCCUACGGGAGGCAGCAGUGGGGAAUAUUGCACAAUGGGCGCAAGCCUGAUGCAGCAACGCCGCGUGAGGGAUGACGGCCUUCGGGUUGUAAACCUCUUUUAGCAGGGAAGAAGCGAAAGUGACGGUACCUGCAGAAAAAGCACCGGCUAACUACGUGCCAGCAGCCGCGGUAAUACGUAGGGUGCAAGCGUUGUCCGGAAUUAUUGGGCGUAAAGAGCUCGUAGGCGGUUUGUCACGUCUGCUGUGAAAAUCCAAGGCUCAACCUUGGACUUGCAGUGGGUACGGGCAGGCUAGAGUGCGGUAGGGGAGAUGGGAAUUCCUGGUGUAGCGGUGGAAUGCGCAGAUAUCAGGAGGAACACCAAUGGCGAAGGCACAUCUCUGGGCCGUAACUGACGCUGAGGAGCGAAAGCGUGGGGAGCGAACAGGAUUAGAUACCCUGGUAGUCCACGCCGUAAACGGUGGGUGCUAGCUGUGGGCCACAUUCCACGUGGUCCGUGACGAAGUUAACACAUUAAGCACCCCGCCUGGGGAGUACGG
This 643-nucleotide ribosomal RNA is filed under the name uncultured Actinomycetes bacterium. RNAcentral's name for it is "bacterial SSU rRNA". It matches the Rfam family "Bacterial small subunit ribosomal RNA", at positions 232 to 885 of the family's 1533-position model. Lineage: Bacteria; Bacillati; Actinomycetota; Actinomycetes. The record is from RNAcentral.